RNAcentral lists this ribosomal RNA (253 nucleotides) under uncultured bacterium. Its description in RNAcentral is "partial 16S ribosomal RNA". It matches the Rfam family "Bacterial small subunit ribosomal RNA", at positions 524 to 776 of the family's 1533-position model. The record is from RNAcentral.
UACGGAGGGUGCAAGCGUUGUCCGGAUUUAUUGGGUUUAAAGGGUGCGUAGGCGGCCAUAUAAGUCAGUGGUGAAACCCUUGGGCUUAACCCAAGGAGUGCCAUUGAUACUGUAUGGCUUGGGUUAUCUCUGGGCGGGCGGAAUGGAUGGUGUAGCGGUGAAAUGCGUAGAUAUCUGGAGGAACACCGGUGGCGAAGGCGGCAUCCUGGACCGGCAUUGACGCUGAGGCGCGAAAGCCAGGGGAGCAAACGGG